AGCUCCAAUAGCGUAUAUUAAAGUUGUUGCAGUUAAAAAGCUCGUAGUUGGAUUUCUGGUUGAAAGCCGCCGCCCUCCCGCGAGUGCGCGGAGGCUCUCUUCCAUCCUUCUGUUAAACCUUCUCGGUCUUUGUUGGCCGGUUGGCAGCCCAGAUAUUUUACCUUGAGAAAAUUAGAGUGUUUCAGGCAGGCUUGCGCCCGGAUACAUUAGCAUGGAAUAAUGGAAUAGGACUUUUGCCUCUUCUGUUGGUCUGAGGGGUCGAAGUAAUGAUUAAUAGGGAUAGUUGGGGGCAUUAGUACUUAACUGUCAGAGGUGAAAUUCUUGGAUUUGUUAAAGACUAACUUAUGCGAAAGCAUUUGCCAAGGAUGUUUUCA
Molecule: ribosomal RNA, 374 nt
Filed under: uncultured eukaryote
Lineage: Eukaryota
Description: SSU rRNA
Rfam family: Eukaryotic small subunit ribosomal RNA
Source: RNAcentral